AUACGGAGGGUGCGAGCGUUGUUCAGAAUUAUUGGGCGUAAAGAGCAUGUAGGCGGUCUGUUAAGUCUGGUGUGAAAGCCCGGGGCUCAACCCCGGAAGUGCAUUGGAUACUGGCAGACUUGAGUAUGGGAGAGGAAAGCGGAAUUCCGAGUGUAGGAGUGAAAUCCGUAGAUAUUCGGAGGAACACCAGUGGCGAAGGCGGCUUCCUGGACCAAUACUGACGCUGAGGCGCGAAGGCGUGGGGAGCAAACAGGAUUAGAUACCCCAGUAGUCC
RNAcentral lists this ribosomal RNA (274 nucleotides) under uncultured bacterium. RNAcentral describes it as "partial 16S ribosomal RNA". It matches the Rfam family "Bacterial small subunit ribosomal RNA", at positions 523 to 796 of the family's 1533-position model. The record is from RNAcentral.